Molecule: non-coding RNA, 97 nt
Filed under: Pimelobacter simplex
Lineage: Bacteria; Bacillati; Actinomycetota; Actinomycetes; Propionibacteriales; Nocardioidaceae
Description: Glycine sequence
Rfam family: Glycine riboswitch aptamer
About the family: This family represents the bacterial glycine riboswitch.
Source: Rfam by way of RNAcentral
CGAACCCCAGCGGGAGAGUCUCCGGCCCACGAGGCCGGGGCGCCGAAGGAGCAAAUCUCCCCAAGAAUCUCUCAGGCACCCUGACCGCUGGGACGAG